This 80-nucleotide transfer RNA is filed under the name Streptomyces litchfieldiae. RNAcentral describes it as "Streptomyces sp. DSM 44938 tRNA-Leu". RNAcentral also lists the same sequence under 1 other name. The record is from RNAcentral. Lineage: Bacteria; Bacillati; Actinomycetota; Actinomycetes; Kitasatosporales; Streptomycetaceae.
GUGGCUGUGUGUGAGCCGGGGAGGCGGGGCGGAUUUGCAUGGCAUGCAAGAGGUCAGGAGUUCAAUUCUCCUUAGCUCCA